This 253-nucleotide ribosomal RNA is filed under the name uncultured bacterium. Its description in RNAcentral is "partial 16S ribosomal RNA". It matches the Rfam family "Bacterial small subunit ribosomal RNA", at positions 524 to 776 of the family's 1533-position model. The record is from RNAcentral.
UACGUAGGUGGCGAGUGUUAUUCGGAUUUACUGGGCGUAAAGGGUUCGUAGGGGGUUUGCUAAGUCCGGUGUGAAAGCCCACGGCUCAACCGUGGAACUGCACUGGAUACUGGCAGACUAGAGGGUCGGAGAGGAGAGUGGAAUACCUGGUGUAGCGGUGGAAUGCGUAGAUAUCAGGUGGAACACCGAUGGCGAAGGCAGCUCUCUGGACGAUACCUGACCCUGAAGAACGAAAGUUGGGGUAGCAAACAGG